AAAACUGUAGUUGAAUCAAUCUGAAAACACUUCCCUUAGAUUAAAUCUUAGUUUCUUCAGAAAAAAUGAAAAUAUAGCACAAAAACUUGAAAAAGGUACUGUUCCAUUGAAAUUUUAGGUGGAUUUCGAAAUAUAAUGGUUGGUUUGCAUCAUUUAGCAUAAUGUUAGAUUGCUGAGAUUUUCUGGAGCUUCCUUGAUUCAUCUCAAGUGUGUUUGAGUUCACCCGAGACAGUUUUUGGCUGUUUUAUUGGUUGUUGGUUUCAGAAAUUGUUCCUGAG
This 278-nucleotide long non-coding RNA is filed under the name Nicotiana benthamiana. Its description in RNAcentral is "long non-coding RNA (NBEN_LNC024523)". The record is from RNAcentral. Lineage: Eukaryota; Viridiplantae; Streptophyta; Magnoliopsida; Solanales; Solanaceae.